UUAACUAUUUUAUAGUACUCAGACGACAUUUAUUACAGAGUUGUGGUCCUCUGGUGGGCACUAACUAGCCGAAGCCAGUGCUUGCGCGGCCCACCAAAGCAACAAAUUAAGAUAAUCAAGGGUUAGAAGGACCGGUUUCCCGGCUUCAUUUUUAAUGAUCCUUCCGCAGGUUCACCUACGGAAA
This 184-nucleotide unclassified non-coding RNA is filed under the name uncultured fungus. Its description in RNAcentral is "sequence contains ITS1". Lineage: Eukaryota; Fungi. The record is from RNAcentral.